RNAcentral lists this long non-coding RNA (256 nucleotides) under Lathyrus oleraceus (garden pea). Its description in RNAcentral is "Pisum sativum (pea) long non-coding RNA (PSAT_LNC013580)". The record is from RNAcentral. Lineage: Eukaryota; Viridiplantae; Streptophyta; Magnoliopsida; Fabales; Fabaceae.
UUGAUCUUCAUGAUGUCUAGAUAUAGCUCAUUGCUUAUUGCUUAUUGUUUGAUUAAAGUCCAAAGGGAAAUGAGUUUCUAUAUGACAUUCUUGUCUGUUGGAUUGCAUCCCAUUGGUCAGAUCUUUUCAACUCUUAAACUUUUAAUUUUUGCUUAAGGUAGCCUCUUCAUCUCCUCCCACUUCUUUAAUUUCAAAAUCCCUCCCUCCUUUCAAAAACUUUCUUUGCUUGUAAUUUCAAACUUAGACAUGUUUUAAU